GACGAACGCUGGCGGCGUGCUUAACACAUGCAAGUCGUACGGUAAGGCCCUUUCGGGGGUACACGAGUGGCGAACGGGUGAGUAACACGUGAGUAACCUGCCCACAACUUUGGGAUAACGCUAGGAAACUGGUGCUAAUACUAGAUAUGUGCCCCUGCUGCAUGGUGGGGGUUGGAAAGCUCCGGCGGUUGUGGAUGGACUCGCGGCCUAUCAGCUUGUUGGUGGGGUAGUGGCCUACCAAGGCGGCGACGGGUAGCCGGCCUGAGAGGGUGACCGGCCACAUUGGGACUGAGAUACGGCCCAGACUCCUACGGGAGGCAGCAGUGGGGAAUAUUGCACAAUGGGCGCAAGCCUGAUGCAGCAACGCCGCGGGCGGGAUGACGGCCUUCGGGUUGUAAACCGCUUUCAGCAGGGACGAAGCUUUUUGUGACGGUACCUGCAGAAGAAGCACCGGCUAACUACGUG
RNAcentral lists this ribosomal RNA (465 nucleotides) under uncultured bacterium. RNAcentral describes it as "partial 16S ribosomal RNA". It matches the Rfam family "Bacterial small subunit ribosomal RNA", at positions 28 to 507 of the family's 1533-position model. The record is from RNAcentral.